UGAAACUUAAAGGAAUUGGCGGGGGAGUACCACAACCGGUGGAGCCUGCGGUUUAAUUGGAUACAACGCCGGGAAUCUUACCGGAGGGGACAGCAGUAUGAAGGCCAGGCUAAAGACCUUGCCAGAUCAGCUGAGAGGAGGUGCAUGGCCGUCGCCAGUUCGUACCGUGAGGCAUCCUGUUUAGUCAGGCAACGAUCGAGACCCGCAGUCUUAUUUGCCAGCAUGCCCUUUGGGGUGUAUGGGUACAAUAAGACGACCGCCAGCGCUAAGCUGGAGGAAGGAGCGGGCUACGGUAGGUCAGCAUGCCCCGAAUCCUCCGGGAUACACGCGGGCUACAAUGGUCAGGACAAAAGGUACCGACCUCGAAAGAGUGAGGUAAUCCACAAACCUGAUCUCAGUCCGGAUCGAAGGCUGCAACUCGCCUUCGUGAAGAUGGAAUCGGUAGUAAUCGUGACUCAGAAUGUCACGGUGAAUAUGUCCCUGCUCCUUGCAC
This 493-nucleotide ribosomal RNA is filed under the name uncultured archaeon. RNAcentral's name for it is "bacterial SSU rRNA". It matches the Rfam family "Archaeal small subunit ribosomal RNA", at positions 850 to 1342 of the family's 1478-position model. The record is from RNAcentral.